AGAGUUUGAUCAUGGCUCAGAUUGAACGCUGGCGGCAUGCUUUACACAUGCAAGUCGAGCGGCAGCGCGGGGGCAACCCUGGCGGCGAGCGGCGGACGGGUGAGUAAUGCAUCGGAACGUAUCCCGUAGUGGGGGACAACCCAGCGAAAGCUGGGCUAAUACCGCAUAUGCUCUACGGAGGAAAGUGGGGGACCCGCAAGGGCCUCACGCUAUGGGAGCGGCCGAUGUCCGAUUAGCUAGUUGGUGGGGUAAAGGCCUACCAAGGCGACGAUCGGUAGCUGGUUUGAGAGGAUGAUCAGCCACACUGGGACUGAGACACGGCCCAGACUCCUACGGGAGGCAGCAGUGGGGAAUUUUGGACAAUGGGGGCAACCCUGAUCCAGCCCAUGCCGCGUGCGGGAAGAAGGCCUUCGGGUUGUAAACCGCUUUUGUUCGGGAAGAAAAGGCACGUCCUAAUACGGCGUGUUCUUGACGGUACCGGAAGAAUAAGCACCGGCUAACUACGUG
Molecule: ribosomal RNA, 507 nt
Filed under: uncultured bacterium
Lineage: Bacteria
Description: bacterial SSU rRNA
Rfam family: Bacterial small subunit ribosomal RNA
Source: RNAcentral